This is a long non-coding RNA of Gadus morhua (Atlantic cod), 558 nucleotides long. Lineage: Eukaryota; Metazoa; Chordata; Actinopteri; Gadiformes; Gadidae. The record is from Ensembl.
AUGACGCAGAAGAUGUCCAUCCAACCGCACAUCGUGGUCGGUGGGAGGAGAUGUGGCCCAGCCGUUGAACCAGGCUCUAUCGGUGUCAGGACGCGUUGGUGGAGGAGGAGGGCUGAUGGACGAGAGCCGACGGCGCCAUGGUGGACGAGAGCCGACGGCGCCAUGGUGGACGAGAGCCGACGGCGCCAUGGUGGACGAGAGCCGACGGAGGAGCCAUGGUGGACGAGAGCCGACGGAGCCAUGGUGGACGAGAGCCGACGGAGCCAUGGUGGACGAGAGCCGACGGAGCCAUGGUGGACGAGAGCCGACGGCGCCAUGGUGGAAGAGAGCCGACGGCGCCAUGGUGGACGAGGGCCGACGGAGGAGCCGUGGUGGAGGUCCUGCCUUAAGAAUGAUGUCGGGACCCGAUGGCCUUGGCUGAUGGAGGAACUGCAUCUGGAGGACGACCAUGAAUCUACCUGCCAACAGGUGGUACUGGUUUGCACUGGUUUGCAUGAACUGAACCUGGUGGACAUGAGGCAAAUUCCCUGCUUUUUGCUCCAGACCAGGACUCUGUGA